This 468-nucleotide ribosomal RNA is filed under the name uncultured bacterium. RNAcentral's name for it is "partial 16S ribosomal RNA". It matches the Rfam family "Bacterial small subunit ribosomal RNA", at positions 28 to 507 of the family's 1533-position model. The record is from RNAcentral.
GAUGAACGCUGGCGGCGUGCUUAACACAUGCAAGUCGAACGGAAAGGCCCAAGCUUGCUUGGGUACUCGAGUGGCGAACGGGUGAGUAACACGUGGGUGAUCUGCCCUGCACUUCGGGAUAAGCCUGGGAAACUGGGUCUAAUACCGGAUAGGACGAUGGUUUGGAUGCCAUUGUGGAAAGUUUUUUCGGCGUGGGAUGAGCUCGCGGCCUAUCAGCUUGUUGGUGGGGUAAUGGCCUACCAAGGCGUCGACGGGUAGCCGGCCUGAGAGGGUGUACGGCCAAUUUGGGAUGGAGUACCGGCCAAGACUCUUCGGGGGGGCAGAAGGGGGGAAUUUUGAACAUGGGGGGAAAGCCGGAGCCACCGAGGCCGGUUGGGGGUGGACGGCCUUCGGGUGGUAAACCCCUUCCGUUAGGGACGAAGCGUUUUUGUGACGGUACCUGGAGAAGAAGCACCGGCUAACUACGUG